This 254-nucleotide ribosomal RNA is filed under the name uncultured bacterium. RNAcentral describes it as "partial 16S ribosomal RNA". It matches the Rfam family "Bacterial small subunit ribosomal RNA", at positions 524 to 776 of the family's 1533-position model. The record is from RNAcentral.
UACGUAGGGUGCGAGCGUUGUCCGGAAUUAUUGGGCGUAAAGAGCUCGUAGGCGGUCUGUCGCGUCGGUCGUGAAAACCUGCAGCUUAACUGUGGGCGUGCGGUCGAUACGGGCAUGACUGGAGUUCGGCAGGGGAGACUGGAAUUCCUGGUGUAGCGGUGAAAUGCGCAGAUAUCAGGAGGAACACCGGUGGCGAAGGCGGGUCUCUGGGCCGAUACUGACGCUGAGGAGCGAAAGCGUGGGGAGCGAACAGG